This 1006-nucleotide long non-coding RNA is filed under the name Eucalyptus grandis. RNAcentral's name for it is "long non-coding RNA (EGRA_LNC005365)". Lineage: Eukaryota; Viridiplantae; Streptophyta; Magnoliopsida; Myrtales; Myrtaceae. The record is from RNAcentral.
CCAACGACUCUCUAAAAGGAUCAAAGAUCUACAAUAUGAAUCGCGAGCCACAUUACCGCACAUUCUGUCAUGCUGUAAACACAAACGGCAACAGAACCAUAGCGAAGCGCGAAGUAGAGUUUGCGAAGCUUACAGAGAAGCGCAACAGAGCGACCCGCGCCAGCAGAGAUCAAAAACGUGUGCGAGCGACACAUAUACGCCAGCGGAGAUAUGCGUCAUUUCUUUUACAUAUCAGCUUAGCUGACAUCUCUUUUUUUUCCUUCUUCUUCCUUUCACUGCCGCCAUUGACAACCGGUGUAAGCGACACUGUUCAUCGUCUUCUUCGGACAGGACUCGCUGGGCCACGGUUCACCGGCGCUCACCCAUCUCCACCAAGACCUCCGACGCCGCGCCACGACCUCCGACAACCCGUCGGCGACUGUGGGUAGUCGUCGGAAUCAUCAUCGGCAGUCUCCGCCCAGAACCCUAUUUCCGGUUCCAGUUUUUCAAGCUUCAAGAAGGCAUCUUCAUCGGCCAUUACCUUCGCUCCGUCAUCCCCGAAGCUUUGUAGAUCCAUUUCGUGCGCGGGCGACAACAAAACGAGCCCAAGCUCUUCUCUCUCUCUCUCCCCUGCCCCCUUCUCUAUGGUCGACCUCCAUUAAUGGAGGUUGCCACCUGCGAUUGAGGCGCCCGAUCUCACGUUUGAGGUAAUCUCUCCUCAUACCCUGAACCAAACAGAACCAAGAUUCAGUUUCGCAGAUGCCCUUUGGGCUCUAACUCACAGAUCCACUGUCAAAAUCGAAUCAUUUCGGCCUCAAAACUCCUGAUUCCGACCAUUUUCAGUCCUCAGAACUCUCAGAACUUGAACUUACUUUUGGUAAGACUCACUAAAAAAGCAGGCGAGGAAUUGCAACAACAGGUCAUUACUUGGCAGUCACCCUAUUUGCUUCCAAGUUAUCCGUUGACUGACCCAUGGCAGGCUAUGGUCAUAAACCCAGGUCCAUGAUGGACGAAGGGGAAUUUUUUU